GUGGGGAAUUUUGGACAAUGGGCGAAAGCCUGAUCCAGCAAUGCCGCGUGCAGGAUGAAGGCCUUCGGGUUGUAAACUGCUUUUGUACGGAACGAAAAAGCUUCUCCUAAUACGAGAGGCCCAUGACGGUACCGUAAGAAUAAGCACCGGCUAACUACGUGCCAGCAGCCGCGGUAAUACGUAGGGUGCGAGCGUUAAUCGGAAUUACUGGGCGUAAAGCGUGCGCAGGCGGUUAUGUAAGACAGAUGUGAAAUCCCCGGGCUCAACCUGGGAACUGCAUUUGUGACUGCAUGGCUAGAGUACGGUAGAGGGGGAUGGAAUUCCGCGUGUAGCAGUGAAAUGCGUAGAUAUGCGGAGGAACACCGAUGGCGAAGGCAAUCCCCUGGACCUGUACUGACGCUCAUGCACGAAAGCGUGGGGAGCAAACAGGAUUAGAUACCCCGGUAGUCC
Molecule: ribosomal RNA, 450 nt
Filed under: uncultured Delftia sp.
Lineage: Bacteria; Pseudomonadati; Pseudomonadota; Betaproteobacteria; Burkholderiales; Comamonadaceae
Description: bacterial SSU rRNA
Rfam family: Bacterial small subunit ribosomal RNA
Source: RNAcentral